CUAUAUAUCUGUUCAGGUGUAAUUCACCUCUUUCAUAUUAUGUGCACCCACACUUAUUAUAUAUCAUUUUGUUCAGGAGAAACAGGGCUUUCAUGUCACAUCAAAUAUUUUUUGGCCAGUGUUUGUACCUAAGUGGCUACUAGAAAAGACUGGACAUACCACAUUUGUAAUACAUUGGGUUAUCUACUUUUGCAAAUGGUAUGCCAUCAUGGGGUAAUUUUCAUUCUUG
This is a non-coding RNA of Pelobates cultripes (western spadefoot toad), 229 nucleotides long. Lineage: Eukaryota; Metazoa; Chordata; Amphibia; Anura; Pelobatidae. The record is from the annotation of a GenBank genome assembly.